Molecule: ribosomal RNA, 219 nt
Filed under: uncultured bacterium
Lineage: Bacteria
Description: partial 16S ribosomal RNA
Rfam family: Bacterial small subunit ribosomal RNA
Source: RNAcentral
UCGGGAAUUUUGCGCAAUGGACGAAAGUCUGACGCAGCAACGCCGCGUGAGGGAUGACGGCCUUCGGGUUGUAAACCUCUUUUAUCAGGGAAGAUAAUGACGGUACCUGAUGAAUAAGUCACGGCUAACUACGUGCCAGCAGCCGCGGUAAUACGUAGGUGACAAGCGUUGUCCGGAUUUACUGGGCGUAAAAAGCGCGCAGGCGGUCGUUCAAGUCGA